This 204-nucleotide ribosomal RNA is filed under the name Klebsiella pneumoniae IS39. Its description in RNAcentral is "Small Subunit Ribosomal RNA; ssuRNA; SSU rRNA". It matches the Rfam family "Bacterial small subunit ribosomal RNA", at positions 1299 to 1502 of the family's 1533-position model. Lineage: Bacteria; Pseudomonadati; Pseudomonadota; Gammaproteobacteria; Enterobacterales; Enterobacteriaceae. The record is from RNAcentral.
UGGAGUCUGCAACUCGACUCCAUGAAGUCGGAAUCGCUAGUAAUCGUAGAUCAGAAUGCUACGGUGAAUACGUUCCCGGGCCUUGUACACACCGCCCGUCACACCAUGGGAGUGGGUUGCAAAAGAAGUAGGUAGCUUAACCUUCGGGAGGGCGCUUACCACUUUGUGAUUCAUGACUGGGGUGAAGUCGUAACAAGGUAACCG